RNAcentral lists this ribosomal RNA (700 nucleotides) under Peripatopsis moseleyi. RNAcentral describes it as "partial 28S ribosomal RNA". It matches the Rfam family "Eukaryotic large subunit ribosomal RNA", at positions 77 to 506 of the family's 3401-position model. The record is from RNAcentral. Lineage: Eukaryota; Metazoa; Onychophora; Udeonychophora; Euonychophora; Peripatopsidae.
CCCCCGGUAGCGGCGAGCGAACGGGGAAGAGCCCAACGCCGAAUCCCGCGGCCCAUCAGUGGUCGCCGGGAACUGUGGCGUAAGGGAGGAUCUCCUUCCGGUCCGCCCGUGGAGGCCCGAGUCUCCGCGAACGGAGCACGCGCCCUUGGCGGGUGCGAGGCCCCUAGAGGCCGAGCCACGGCGGCCGGUCGGAACCUCCCGAGAGUAGGGUUGCCCGAGAGCGCAACCCGAAGCGGGUGGUAAACUCCAUCUAAGGCUAAAUACUUUCGGCGAGACCGAUAGCGAACAAGUACCGUGAGGGAAAGUUGAAAAGAACUUUGAAGAGAGAGUUCAACAGUACGUGAAACCGCUCGGAGGUAAACGGGCGGAACCUCGAAGCCCGAACCGUCGAGGAAUCAACCCUUCGGCCGUCCGAGCCGCCGGUUAAAGUCGUCCCCGUUCAUUCGGCGGAUGGCAAGACGGAUCCUCGCGACCGUCGCCGGCGGUCAUCGGACGGUCACACCCAAACGAAGGGCGCAUUUCCUCCGGAGAGGACGCCACGACCGGUCGGUCAGAGCGGUCGGAAGGUCGGUGUGAUGCGGAGGCACGGCCCGGCGGCUUUGCGCCGUCGGCGAGUCGUGGUUACCCGUCCACCGUAUACCCGGUAAGCCGCUCUCCGACCGAGGACACCACUUAUCCCCAGUACGACCCGACCGGCCUU